AUGCUUUUAGGAAUUGCUUUGUUGAAGUUCCCAGAAGGAGCCUUGGGGCAUGAAAAAGAUCACCCCAAACAUAAAACAGGAGAAAAGAACUCUGCACUUGACAUUAGACAUUAUUCAGAGUGGGUCACAGGGGCAAGUUUUGGAUCCAACUCAUCAGGACAUGUCUCUGUCAUUUUAGAUGCUGAACUUCAAUCAAGCACAAGGUGGAUGAGGCCCAUGCAUCCUGUGUCCUAGAAGACGCUGAUAGAACACCUGGAUCCUCAUGGAGUUGUAAUCUUUCAUUCACUACAAACAUCUAACAACGUGGCUUGCCUAUGAGAUUUAUAAAGCAGAAGUUCGGAUACCAGCUGUGGUGAUUAGUUCUGUGUGUCAACUUGGCAAAAGAUCAUAGGCUGUAAUCUAAGCAGUAAUAUAAGAAUUGCUGUGGAGUAUUUGGUAUUGUGAUCCAUAUCUAGAAUCAGUUUCACUAAGUAAAUAAAAUGGUCCUUGAUAAUGUGAACCA
Molecule: long non-coding RNA, 502 nt
Organism: Oryctolagus cuniculus (rabbit)
Lineage: Eukaryota; Metazoa; Chordata; Mammalia; Lagomorpha; Leporidae
Source: Ensembl